AUUGAACGCUGGCGGCAUGCCUUACACAUGCAAGUCGAACGGCAGCACGGGAGCAAUCCUGGUGGCGAGUGGCGAACGGGUGAGUAAUAUAUCGGAACGUGCCCAGUCGUGGGGAUAACGUAGAGAAAUUUACGCUAAUACCGCAUACGAUCUAAGGAUGAAAGCGGGGGACCGUAAGGCCUCGCGCGAUUGGAGCGGCUGAUAUCAGAUUAGGUUGUUGGUGAGGUAAAAGCUCACCAAGCCGACGAUCUGUAGCUGGUUUGAGAGAACGACCAGCCACACUGGGACUGAGACACGGCCCAGACUCCUACGGGAGGCAGCAGUGGGGAAUUUUGGACAAUGGGCGCAAGCCUGAUCCAGCAAUGCCGCGUGCAGGAUGAAGGCC
This 385-nucleotide ribosomal RNA is filed under the name uncultured bacterium. RNAcentral describes it as "bacterial SSU rRNA". It matches the Rfam family "Bacterial small subunit ribosomal RNA", at positions 30 to 416 of the family's 1533-position model. The record is from RNAcentral.